GGAGGCGAAACAGACAAAGCGAAGGCUCGCCCUCACGAAAAUGCUGGGGAAAGUCGGGGAAAAGUCGCUUUCCAGAAAGCGCAAGGCCCCGGCCUCCGCGACCUUCCGAGAAGAUCUUUCCCCUGAGGGGGAGGAGAGGGGCGC
Molecule: non-coding RNA, 144 nt
Filed under: uncultured Chlorophyceae
Lineage: Eukaryota; Viridiplantae; Chlorophyta; Chlorophyceae
Source: RNAcentral